AGUGAACGCUGGCGGUAGGCCUAACACAUGCAAGUCGAACGGCAGCACAGUAAGAGCUUGCUCUUACGGGUGGCGAGUGGCGGACGGGUGAGGAAUACAUCGGAAUCUACUUUUUCGUGGGGGAUAACGUAGGGAAACUUACGCUAAUACCGCAUACGACCUACGGGUGAAAGCAGGGGAUCUUCGGACCUUGCGCGAUUGAAUGAGCCGAUGUCGGAUUAGCUAGUUGGCGGGGUAAAGGCCCACCAAGGCGACGAUCCGUAGCCGGUCUGAGAGGAUGAUCAGCCACACUGGAACUGGGACACGGUCCAGGCUCCUAAGGGAGGCAGCAGUGGGGAAUAUUGGACAAUGGGCGCAAGCCUGAUCCAGCCAUACCGCGUGGGUGAAGAAGGCCUUCGGGUUGUAAAGCCGUUUUGUUGGGAAAGAAAAGCAGCAGGUUAAUACGCCGCUGUUCUGACGGUACCCAAUGAAUAAGCACCGGCUAACUUCGUG
Molecule: ribosomal RNA, 492 nt
Filed under: uncultured bacterium
Lineage: Bacteria
Description: partial 16S ribosomal RNA
Rfam family: Bacterial small subunit ribosomal RNA
Source: RNAcentral